GGGGGCCCUGCGCUUUCCAACCAUCUGCCUGCCAGACAACCUUUGACAACUUGACCUCAAAGCGGGUGGGAUUACCCGACUGAACUUAAGCAUAUCAAUAAGCGGAGGAAAACAAACUAACAAGGAUUCCCCUAGUAACGGCGAGUGAAGAGGGAAAAGCUCAAAUUUUGAAUCUGGCAUCUUUGGUGCCCGAGUUGUAAUCUAGAGAAGUGUUUUCUGCCUCGGACCACACAUAAAUUCCCUGGAAUGGGGUGUCAUAGAGGGUGAGAAUCCCGUUUGUGGUGUGGACUACCUUGGCUCUGUGAUACACUCUCAACGAGUCGAGGUGUUUGGGAAUGCAGCUCAAAAUGGGUGGUAAAUUCCAUCUAAAGCUAAAUAUUGGCGAGAGACCGAUAGCGAACAAGUACCGUGAGGGAAAGAUGAAAAGCACUUUGGAAAGAGAGUGAAACAGUACGUGAAAUUGUUGAAAGGGAAGCGUUUGAAGUCAGUCGCAUCUGUCGGGGCUCAGCCUGGCUUUGCCUGGUGUACUUCCUGGCAGAUGGGUCAGUGUCAGUUUUGACCGGGAGAGAAAGGCUUGGGGAAUGUGGCUGUCUUCGGGCAGUGUUAUAGC
This 610-nucleotide ribosomal RNA is filed under the name uncultured Sebacinales. RNAcentral describes it as "eukaryotic LSU rRNA". It matches the Rfam family "Eukaryotic large subunit ribosomal RNA", at positions 1 to 562 of the family's 3401-position model. The record is from RNAcentral. Lineage: Eukaryota; Fungi; Basidiomycota; Agaricomycetes; Sebacinales.